This 253-nucleotide ribosomal RNA is filed under the name uncultured bacterium. Its description in RNAcentral is "partial 16S ribosomal RNA". It matches the Rfam family "Bacterial small subunit ribosomal RNA", at positions 524 to 776 of the family's 1533-position model. The record is from RNAcentral.
UACGGGGGGAGCAAGCGUUGUUCGGAUUUACUGGGCGUAAAGGGCGCGUAGGCGGCGUAACAAGUCACUUGUGAAAUCUCCGGGCUUAACCCGGAGCGGCCAAGUGAUACUGUUGUGCUAGAGUGCGGAAGGGGCUACUGGAAUUCUCGGUGUAGCGGUGAAAUGCGUAGAUAUCGAGAGGAACACCUGCAGCGAAGGCGGGUAGCUGGGCCGACACUGACGCUGAGGCGCGAAAGCCAGGGGAGCGAACGGG